GUGAACAGCACGGCAUUAUCAUAUCUGACACUGACAAGUGCAUACGUCACUGCAUACCACUUACCAGUUACCACUUCUGCUAGCUCCUUCAAUGCCACCAGUUUUGUGAUUCCUUCUCUGGAAUGUGGAUGUGGCUAAUAUCUGACCAUGGUGAAAUCGUGUGCUGCCAUCUCCUGCACCAAUUGAUUUGUAAUAUUUCCUUUCAUAAGUUUCCCAAGCAGUCCAAGGACAGCACACUGAGAGAUCAAUGGAUACAGGCCAUCAGUAGAGAAGCGGUGGGGACCAAGAGGAGAUGGAUCAUAAUUAUGUAUGUAGCAACCAUUUCAGGGAGGAGGACCUCAUCCUCUCAAAACAUGCGCAACACAAGCUUCUCAGACCAGGGGCUGUACCAUCCCUCAAUUUGGGGAAACCAGAGAAAAAGGUUAUGUUCUUUAAUUGUUAAUGGUUGCUCAUUAUUUCAAUUUAGUACUUUUCUUGUCAAUUUGUGUGGCUAUGAAAAUGAUUCAGGAUCGGUUUUUGGCUUUCAUAGUGAUUUGCAGCCAUUCGUUGUGAUAAUGUUUUCUUUCAGGUAUUGGUGAAACAGAAACAAAUCUUUUGGGAAUUUGCCAUGUUAAUUCUUUUAUCAAAUGUUUUAGACCGCAGUGAGGACAACCCAAACCAGCCAGGAAGCAGUGGCAUUUGACCAGCACAUCGACAUAGAGUCCUUUACUAAAACAGUUCUAUUUAGAAAUCAGUGACUUCCCAAUAUCCUUAUUAUUUCCAGCAAUGCCUAUAAAUUCCUGUAUUUUGUGCAAAAACUCCUGUAUAUUUUCAAGCCUUUUGAUGCACUGAAAAUUAGUAAUUUGUUCACUUUGUGAAAAUUAUGUGGAAAAGUACACUUUUGGUUAGAUUUUUAAAAAGCCAUGCAUUUCAUAUCGUCAAAUUGCUUUUCUCGAAAUAAUUUUGGCACGCUAUUUCUGGGAAAAUAGGCUACUUCAUAAGUUUCAAACUGAAACAUUUUGUUUUUGCCCUGAAGUUGGCGUUUUAUAGCAAAUUGUUCAUGGAAUUUUAUUGUGAAAUAUAUAUUUCCUACAAUACUCCUAUAUUUUCUCAGAGAAGACUUUUAUAUUGUCAUAUUUCUGUCAAGUGCACUUGAUACCCUGUAAAUAUUUUAUUGGAACAUAGAUAUUUGCAAAUGAACCUACAAGUGCUGUAGCUAUUGUAAUGCAAUUUAGCAACACAAACUUUUGUCUGGGUGGUGUAUUUUAUAUUUUUUGUUAACAAGUUGGAGCAGUAUUCCAUUGUAAAAAUAAAUACUUUCAAUGGUUUCCUUCGUUAUAUAGUGCCUGUAUCUCUGGAAGUAUUUGGUCUAGAAAGUCAUGGCUGGGCUCAAGCUACUCAAAAAUCUCCAGUUUGACUGCAACGUCAACCUCUGCUUGCAGUACUCAAGGCUGUCAGGCCUGUGAAUUUUCCAUCCCUCUUUACACUCAAACAUAAUUUAGAUUUUUUGGCUACUGCAUGUGCUGCUUUUUUAAGUCCAACUGAAUAAUUUGAAUUGGAGAAAAAUUGUUUAAAACACUAAUUUUCUUAUUUGGCAUUGGUUUGAAUAUUUUCUAGAGCCCAUGUAAGUGAAACACUAAUGCUGCAGAAAGUAUGAAUUUUUUUUAUUGACACAAUCACUGCAUCAGCAUUCAGCAAUCAUUAUCAUUGUGUGGUGGUCUCUGUUUGUUGUAGCCUCAUGUAGGCAGAACGUGUGAAGAGGCUAAAUAUGAAGGAUAUUGGAAUGGAGGCUCUGUGUUUUGCUAUUAUAUGAGUGUGUUUGCCAUAGAAACAUGCCUUGUGCUUUGUUUUUUCUUGUCUGUGAGGGCUAAACAACGCUGUGAUUGCCGUGAAAACGUGUCUAGGACAGAGAUUUUAUUGCCUGCUAACAGUAAAAGCCAUAACAUAACACAUAUUGUCCCACCAGUGAUGACAAGCAGGCCUUGAAGUUGGUGUAUUCACACAGGAUCAAAUAGCGCGCCACAGCUUCUUGCUUCUUGUUGAACACAACAAAGACAUGCGACAGACAUCACAGCUGAAAGUGACCACACAACUGGGAGUGGGCCCUGGUGGGAAUCAAGUGACAUCUGACAGUAAUGUUGUGACUCCACCAGUCUCUGUUACAGCUCUAUCUUCCAAGAUGCAGGCAGAGGAAUCCUCUGAUCGCCUCGAGCGCCUCAUAGCCAUGCUGGAGCAUGUUAUGGAGCAACAGCCAAAACAGACUGGACUUGUUAACAUGAAAAGUGGACAGCCACGUCUGAAUCUGACAAAUAAACCUACACCUGUUGUAGUUUGUGACAUUUGUGGGGAUGUUGAACAUACCACCUUUUAUCACUGUAGAGCCAAUCACCUGUGUUUUGUGUGCUUCUCACCUGACCACACACGGGCUGAGUGCCCCAGGACUGUUGCCACUAGGUCCAAGGGUCCUAAGCUCACUGCUCAGAGUGAGGGAAACUAGAUGGCCUACAUGUGAUGGGGGCAAGUGUUAGGCCUGAGUGUGACCCCCUAAUGACUGUUGACAAUGAUGACUCAAAUUCUGUCUAUCAGAGUGUUUGUGAAGAGAGAGACCGAGGCAGCAGUAGACAUUAACAGAGGGCCACAUAGGACUGCACUCUUAACCAGAUAUGAAAACUGCUGUUUUAAUUAUGUUUGUAUAUGUUUAUUGACCAAACAUAUAGUGCACAGUAAUUUGGCAUAUUCCAUACUCAAAUGCAUGUAUGACAGUUGUACUCCUUUUUGAUAAAUACGAAUAGAAAAGGUUUGAAAUAAACAAAAAAGAACGACUCAUUGUGAUUUGUCUGACUCCAAAACAUAAUUCUCCUACACAUUGCGCCUAGCUUGAAAAAACAGAUCUGACUGCAGGUUGCAGAUACAACUCUGAAGAGGGAGGGAGAGAGAGAGGGAGAGAGGGAGAGGGAGAGAGAGAGGGAGAUCAAUGGCUGCAUGGCAUGGAAAACUUGGACCCUGGAACACACUACUUUCUCAAUCAAGUUUUCUCUUUCCUCCGCUCUUAUCCAUGGCACAACAUCUCUUCCACAUUAGUUGGGAAGACUGAUGAAGAGGGAUAGUUGGAACUGCAUUGUAGUGGCCAGGUGUGUCAUUACAACUGAUUCAGCACCACAGAGGACACAUUUUUAUAAUUUUCAAAAAUUAAUCUGAGGGCCACUUCAAGUGAGGGCAUGAGCCGUGUGCGGCCCCUGGACUGCCGGUUGCCCAUCCUAUUCGGUUUCAAUAUUAGCUGCAAGUAAUGACAGUCAUAACUGAAAGUAAAUUUAACUUUUUGUUUUUGCUCUGUUGAAAUUCCAGAAUCAUAUUGUUGAAAGGAUGUGGCCAGAAGUCAACAACAGAGUGAACUACCUACUGAAAACGGCUCUCGUCCAGCUCGUAGACCAGGAGGAACUUGACAUGGAGGACAACUUGACACGAUACUGUGUCUCCACACUUACAUGUUAGGUAGCAGAGAUUGGACUUGGUCGGAUGGUGCAGUCCUGGAAUGCACACAGGAUCCAAGGAAAAGGUAUUCCAAGUCAACUGGCUCUGGGUGGAUGCCCAAAGAAACUGCCGGCAGAUUGUUUGCCAGAGGCUGCAGAAGCUGCACAAGCUUACCACCAGGAAGUGGGGUCAUCGCUGAUGCAAGUCUCCCUUUUCGGGAGAAACCCAUUCCCCACAGCUGAACAACAAACAGCAGCUGAAAAUGAAUUUGCACAGCAAUACUUGGACAUUUCUGUGCUCUAUGACAAUGCUGUGAACAACAAUCCAACCAGUUUUCAAAGCGGGAUCAAGGACCUCAUCAAUAUUGUGAAAACAUGUGUAGAGAGAGCUGAAACAUCACCGACAUUUUUGUGACAUAAUGUUAUUCAUAUAUUUUUCUUUUUUCUGACUUUGUUCUUGUUAUUCUUGUAUUAAAGACUGUUGUUUUUUCA
Molecule: long non-coding RNA, 3941 nt
Organism: Acanthochromis polyacanthus (spiny chromis)
Lineage: Eukaryota; Metazoa; Chordata; Actinopteri; Pomacentridae
Exons: 4
Source: RefSeq, a predicted model, not a curated record